RNAcentral lists this ribosomal RNA (794 nucleotides) under Enterococcus faecium. RNAcentral's name for it is "bacterial SSU rRNA". It matches the Rfam family "Bacterial small subunit ribosomal RNA", at positions 1 to 750 of the family's 1533-position model. The record is from RNAcentral. Lineage: Bacteria; Bacillati; Bacillota; Bacilli; Lactobacillales; Enterococcaceae.
UUCCUUCCUGGACAGGAGUUUUGUGAGUUUUGGUUUCGCUCAGGACGAACGCUGGCGGCGUGCCUAAUACAUGCAAGUCGAACGCUUCUUUUUCCACCGGAGCUUGCUCCACCGGAAAAAGAGGAGUGGCGAACGGGUGAGUAACACGUGGGUAACCUGCCCAUCAGAAGGGGAUAACACUUGGAAACAGGUGCUAAUACCGUAUAACAAUCGAAACCGCAUGGUUUUGAUUUGAAAGGCGCUUUCGGGUGUCGCUGAUGGAUGGACCCGCGGUGCAUUAGCUAGUUGGUGAGGUAACGGCUCACCAAGGCGACGAUGCAUAGCCGACCUGAGAGGGUGAUCGGCCACAUUGGGACUGAGACACGGCCCAAACUCCUACGGGAGGCAGCAGUAGGGAAUCUUCGGCAAUGGACGAAAGUCUGACCGAGCAACGCCGCGUGAGUGAAGAAGGUUUUCGGAUCGUAAAACUCUGUUGUUAGAGAAGAACAAGGAUGAGAGUAACUGUUCAUCCCUUGACGGUAUCUAACCAGAAAGCCACGGCUAACUACGUGCCAGCAGCCGCGGUAAUACGUAGGUGGCAAGCGUUGUCCGGAUUUAUUGGGCGUAAAGCGAGCGCAGGCGGUUUCUUAAGUCUGAUGUGAAAGCCCCCGGCUCAACCGGGGAGGGUCAUUGGAAACUGGGAGACUUGAGUGCAGAAGAGGAGAGUGGAAUUCCAUGUGUAGCGGUGAAAUGCGUAGAUAUAUGGAGGAACACCAGUGGCGAAGGCGGCUCUCUGGUCUGUAACUGACGCUGAG